CACACGAAACUAUGAAAUGAAAACAUCAGAUCUCAUACUGCAUUUAAAACUGUAAAAUAGGUUAAACAACAGCUGACCGACAAACACACCAGACUCGGGCUCCAUUAGCAAUCUUAAACAAUUUCACACAUCUAUUGAUUUAUGAAAUACUGUUUUAUCAUUUAUUGAACUUUAAUACCGUGAUAGGAAAUAGGGUGAGGG
RNAcentral lists this long non-coding RNA (201 nucleotides) under Carica papaya (papaya). Its description in RNAcentral is "long non-coding RNA (CPAP_LNC007491)". The record is from RNAcentral. Lineage: Eukaryota; Viridiplantae; Streptophyta; Magnoliopsida; Brassicales; Caricaceae.